RNAcentral lists this ribosomal RNA (275 nucleotides) under uncultured Mobiluncus sp. Its description in RNAcentral is "partial 16S ribosomal RNA". It matches the Rfam family "Bacterial small subunit ribosomal RNA", at positions 83 to 354 of the family's 1533-position model. The record is from RNAcentral. Lineage: Bacteria; Bacillati; Actinomycetota; Actinomycetes; Actinomycetales; Actinomycetaceae.
CCUUUGACGUUAGUGGCGAACGGGCGAGUAACACGUGAGUAACCUGUCCUUUUCUUUGGGAUAACGGCUGGAAACGGCUGCUAAUACUGGAUAUUCAGGCUGCAUCGCAUGGUGUGGUUUGGAAAGGUUUUUUCUGGAAUGGGGUGGACCCGCGCCGUAUUAGCUAGUUGGUAAGGUAACGGCUUACCAAGGCGACGAUACGUAGCCGACCUGAGAGGGUGAUCGGCCACACUGGAACUGAGACACGGUCCAGACUCCUACGGGAGGCAGCAGGC